RNAcentral lists this ribosomal RNA (253 nucleotides) under uncultured bacterium. RNAcentral's name for it is "partial 16S ribosomal RNA". It matches the Rfam family "Bacterial small subunit ribosomal RNA", at positions 524 to 776 of the family's 1533-position model. The record is from RNAcentral.
UACAGAGGGUGCAAGCGUUAAUCGGAAUUACUGGGCGUAAAGCGUGCGCAGGCGGUUUUGUAAGCCAGAUGUGAAAUCCCCGGGCUUAACCUGGGAAUGGCAUUGGUGACUGCACGGCUAGAGUGUGUCAGAGGGGGGUAGAAUUCCACGUGUAGCAGUGAAAUGCGUAGAGAUGUGGAGGAAUACCGAUGGCGAAGGCAGCCCCCCUGGGAUAACACUGACGCUCAUGCACGAAAGCGUGGGAGCAAACAGG